AAAAAAGGCUAGGGGUGCCCGAAAGGGCUGAGAGGCGGAAAGCUAACCCUGUAACCUGAUCUGGUUAGUACCAGCGUAGGGAAGCGGAAAAAGUGGUUU
This 99-nucleotide non-coding RNA is filed under the name Youngiibacter fragilis 232.1. RNAcentral's name for it is "Clostridium sp. 232.1 TPP riboswitch aptamer (THI element)". It matches the Rfam family "TPP riboswitch aptamer (THI element)". From Rfam's summary of the family: Vitamin B(1) in its active form thiamin pyrophosphate (TPP) is an essential coenzyme that is synthesised by coupling of pyrimidine and thiazole moieties in bacteria. The record is from Rfam by way of RNAcentral. RNAcentral also lists the same sequence under 1 other name. Lineage: Bacteria; Bacillati; Bacillota; Clostridia; Eubacteriales; Clostridiaceae.